Molecule: long non-coding RNA, 1424 nt
Organism: Cataglyphis hispanica
Lineage: Eukaryota; Metazoa; Arthropoda; Insecta; Hymenoptera; Formicidae
Exons: 2
Source: RefSeq, a predicted model, not a curated record
UAUUGAAGAUAUGUUAUAUCAUGCUAAUGAUUUCAGAGUCUGAAAAUCAAGUAUUCUGUACAUCCUGAAGUCUUAACAGUGUAUCCUUCUGCAUGAAAGAUAACAAUCUCGACGAGGAAACUAAAUAAAAGAAGUUUAUAAACAAAGAAUAUUCAUAUUAAGGCAAAAAAGAGCAAAAAAUUGGAAUAGAUUUUUAUCAAGACUACAGAUAGAUUAAUGAUUAAUGAUAGAAGAAGGCAAUUCGGAGGACAUUGAUGGAACAAUUGUAUUGUAUUCAAUGUAUAUUUACAAUAUCAUCUGGUCAAGGUACAGCGUUGAAUAUCGACCCGUAUAGAUUUGCAUAUUAGUCUUGGUAAUGCUGCUUUGUUUGUAUACUUUGUAAGAAAAAUUUAUAUGCCUGAUGUAUAUAUUCUCUCUUGCGUGUAGGUAAGUAGAUUGGUUUUACGUGAUGUAUCUGUAUAAAAAUCUAUUGAUAAACGUCCAUCGCGAGAGAAACAUAUGUGAGAAUUGAGAACAGAUUGAUACAGAUUUUCUACUAUUUAUCAGCGAAAACGGUAGCCAUCGUACAAAUGAGAAUAAGCUCGGCUCCAUAAUCUCGCAACGCAGCACAACGUGAUACUGGGUAUAUUCUUUCUCAGUAUUGUCAAAUAAGCCAUGAUUCUUUGAAAAACGGUUUUCAAAAAACGAUUUUUUUUCUCUUUUUUAUUAAACAUGAAUUGCAUAUCGAAGAUGAUUAUUAUCUCGACUCGAGAUCAUAGAAUCCGAUUAUUGCAACGUGAUGUUGCGUUUGGGAAAUUGUUUUACACAGGUACAUGUUAUAUUCAAUGAUACUUUUCCUUCUUUUUUAGUUCGCCGAAUAAAGAACGAGCGAUAAAUAAUACAAUAACGUAUUUUCUUACAGCUUCUCACUAUCACAGUGUAGUAUAAUUCGCUAAGAAUAAUAGCAUAUCUACGAGCCCGGUGAGAGUAGUUUAACUACCGAAAUCAUGAAACUGUGCAAAAAUACCAGUUUCGCUUAUAACAAUUCGCAAUUAUAGAAAAUAUUAAUGUAAUUCAUUACAAUUAUUACGAGGAGAGAUAAUCGAGAAUCAGAUUUUUGUGUCUUCUAUAUCGUUUCAUUAAUUAUAGAGUACUGGAUAUGAUGAACUUUAUACGAAACACGAUUCUACGAAGAUGGAACAAGUUUAAAUAUUCUACUUGUAUUUCAAAGAAGGUAAAAAGAAUAUAUCAGAAAUUAUAGUACGCGCGAGUACCAAAUUCAAGGAGUAUUAUCAUUACCGUCAACAAUCUGUUUACGAUGGGUGUAAGUAUAUAUAUAGCUCUCUUUUUCAAGAUUUUAGAAAUAAUUUACAAAAUGUUAUAAAAAAGAUGAAAUGUGUGUGUGUGUGUGUGUGUGUGUAUAUAUAUAUAUAUAUAUAUAUAUA